This 439-nucleotide unclassified non-coding RNA is filed under the name Hevea brasiliensis (rubber tree). Lineage: Eukaryota; Viridiplantae; Streptophyta; Magnoliopsida; Malpighiales; Euphorbiaceae. The record is from RNAcentral.
UCCUAGGGAUUUGCAGAGGCUUAGAAGCCCUGAAGAUGAGACUAGGCGUGCAAGCUCUUAUCAUUCAUAUUCUCAAAGUCCUCCUUAUGACUUCCAGUAUGAAGAUCGACGUUAUGGAAAGCAAGCUGCUGUUCUGACACGUAAACCUGGUUCAGAUCGAGGCCUUUAUGUUCGGGAAGAUGUCUAGUUUUAUUUGCAGUCCUACUCGCUUAAAUGAAAGAAUGUUUGAGGACAGUUUUGCAAAUGAGGGCUCUGUGUCCAGGGUUUCAGACUAUUCUGUAUCUAGUAGGGGUGAUCCGAUCGGUAGAGAGUUGCCAAAUUUUCAGACUAUUCAGACUCCAAGGGAUAAUUCAGGUGAAAAUGGACAUCAUCAAAGAAUAGAUCAAUUUUCAGAGGAAAACUUUAAGAGAGAUGCAGAUGGGUUUCCACGUCGACAGAG